AGAGCUGGUAAACGUGCUUUCUAGGUGUGUCUGUGAGGGCGUUUCUAGAAGCAGCUGGCACUUGAAUUAGUAUAGUAGACUGAUUAGAGAAGACUCACCCUCAUCAGUGUGGGUGAGCACCGUCCGAGCUGAGGACCUGAAAAGGACAAAAGUGUGGAAGAAUGUGCUUCUGUUUGAGCCGGGAUGGCCAUCUUCUCCUCCCCUCGGACAUUGGACUCAGACUAAUGAUACCAUGGCUGUCUUGUUUCUUCAUGCAGGCAACACACCAACAGAUCGUGGGACUGCCCAGCCUCCACAAUCACCCAGAACGUGGGGUGAUGUCUGGAGCUGUGGCAAUCCUCUUGCGACCAUGAAGGAAAGUCACAGAACUGCUGGCCUGAUGCCACUGGGCUGCUGAGGUAAUGCCAGCCACACCUACCUCCAGGAUUCCUGUUACGGGAGAAAAAUAAAUCCCUAUUGGUUCAAAUCA
This is a long non-coding RNA of Callithrix jacchus (white-tufted-ear marmoset), 469 nucleotides long. RefSeq lists it as uncharacterized. The record is from RefSeq and is a predicted model, not a curated record. Lineage: Eukaryota; Metazoa; Chordata; Mammalia; Primates; Cebidae.